GCCAAUGGUUUUCCUUAGAGGCUUUGAAAUAACACCACCUGUGGUCUUACGGUUGAAAUGCGGUUCAGGGCCUGUGCAUAUUAGUGGACAGCACUUAGUAGCUGUGGAGGAAGAUGCAGAGUCAGAAGAUGAAGAGGAAGAGGAUGUGAAACUCCUUAGUAUAUCUGGAAAGCGUUCUGCCCCUGGAAGUGGUAGCAAGGUUCCACAGAAAAAAGUAAAACUUGCUGCCGAUGAAGAUGAUGAUGAAG
Molecule: non-coding RNA, 248 nt
Organism: Puma concolor (puma)
Lineage: Eukaryota; Metazoa; Chordata; Mammalia; Carnivora; Felidae
Source: RefSeq, a predicted model, not a curated record